This 250-nucleotide ribosomal RNA is filed under the name uncultured prokaryote. RNAcentral's name for it is "partial 16S ribosomal RNA". It matches the Rfam family "Bacterial small subunit ribosomal RNA", at positions 524 to 773 of the family's 1533-position model. The record is from RNAcentral.
UACGGAGGAUGCAAGCGUUAUCCGGAUUUAUUGGGUUUAAAGGGUGCGUAGGCGGCUUGGUAAGCGGGAGGUGAAAUGCCGGCGCUCAACGUCGGAAGUGCCUCCCGAACUGUCGGGCUUGAAUAGUACUGCCGUGGGAGGAAUGUGUGGUGUAGCGGUGAAAUGCUUAGAGAUCACACAGAACACCGAUUGCGAAGGCAUCUCACGAAGUACCGAUUGACGCUGAGGCACGAAAGCGUGGGGAUCAAAC